AUUGAACGCUAGCGGGAUGCCUUACACAUGCAAGUCGAACGGAGUGGCGAACGGGUGCGUAAUGUAUCGGAACGUGCCCAGUCGCGGGGGAUAACUACGCGAAAUCGUAGCUAAUACCGCAUACUCUUGGAGCGGCCGAUAUGGGAUUAGCUAGUGGGGGGGGUAACGGCUCACAAAGGCGACGAUCCGUAGCUGGUUUGAGAGGACGACCAGCCACACUGGAACUGAGACACGGCCCAGACGCCUACGGGAGGCAGCAGUGGGGAAUAUUGGACAAUGGGGGAAAGCCUGAUGCAGCCAUCCCGCGUGUGUGAUGAAGGCCUUCGGGUUGUAAAGCACUUUUGGCAGGAAAGCGGUACCUGCAGAAUAAGCACCGGCUAACUCCGUGCCAGCAGCCGCGGUAAUAC
This 407-nucleotide ribosomal RNA is filed under the name uncultured bacterium. Its description in RNAcentral is "partial 16S ribosomal RNA". It matches the Rfam family "Bacterial small subunit ribosomal RNA", at positions 30 to 526 of the family's 1533-position model. The record is from RNAcentral.